RNAcentral lists this long non-coding RNA (316 nucleotides) under Nicotiana benthamiana. RNAcentral describes it as "long non-coding RNA (NBEN_LNC008038)". Lineage: Eukaryota; Viridiplantae; Streptophyta; Magnoliopsida; Solanales; Solanaceae. The record is from RNAcentral.
AGAGGUGCAGCUGCUGGUUGCAUCCAUGCUGUUGCUGCUAAGCGUAUGGAUCCGAAAGCAAAACUCACUCUUUUGCAGAGCCUUCAGAUAAGAAGGGUUUUCAGUUUGGUAGCCGAGGAUAAUGACUCCGAGUUGGUAUCAAGUAUUACUUCUUUGCUUACUGGAUAUUCAACUUGAGGAUAAUGACUCCGAGUUGGUAUCAAGUGUUGGUUCUUUGCUUACUGGAUAUUCAACUGAGGUUUUGGAGUGUUUGAAGCGUUUGAACUCUGAGGAUGGGAAAGCUCUCUCGACUGAACUAUUGAAUGAGGUUUUGCCC